UGCUGAAUUAGCUCAGUUGGUAGAGCAUCUCCCUCGUAAAGAGAAGGUCGCCAGUUCGACUCUGGCAUUCAGCAUCAG
This 78-nucleotide transfer RNA is filed under the name Lactobacillus crispatus 214-1. Its description in RNAcentral is "tRNA-Thr". It matches the Rfam family "tRNA". Rfam says of the family: Transfer RNA (tRNA) molecules are approximately 80 nucleotides in length. Lineage: Bacteria; Bacillati; Bacillota; Bacilli; Lactobacillales; Lactobacillaceae. The record is from RNAcentral.